This is a long non-coding RNA of Leopardus geoffroyi (Geoffroy's cat), 350 nucleotides long. RefSeq lists it as uncharacterized. NCBI's taxonomy places the organism in Eukaryota, Metazoa, Chordata, Mammalia, Carnivora, Felidae. The record is from RefSeq and is a predicted model, not a curated record. The transcript has 3 exons.
UAAAAAUGUAUAUUUGGAAAGGGAACAAAAAAAGGAAUGGAAAAAUUUCAAGGUGAAACUAGUCGUCAUAGCUGGACUUUUCUGAUGCUGAGCUUGACCAUUUUUCAACUGCUGCUUUUGAUAAAAGACAUAAUCAUCUGGGAAAUAUAAAUGCAGUUUCUGGAGAGAGCUGAGUCCUUCUGAGAAUGAUUGCCUGGGUAAAACAAUGAAAAACUCCUUGUAUUAUAAUGGAAUUAUUCCAGGCUUUGGAAAAUGGGACCAUUGCUGGACCAGCAUUCCUAGGAAUCUCAAGGAUACUCUAAUCAGUUAUUAAAAAUGUCAACUUAUAAGAUUGGGAAUUUCAGCAUGGA